AUCUGGGCACUGUCUCAACGAGAGACGCGGUGAAAUGAUAGUACCUGGGAAGAUGCAGGUUACCCGCGACAGGACGGAAAGACCCCGUGGAGCUUUACUGCAACCUGAUAUGGAAUGUUUGUACCGCGUGUACAGGAUAGGUAGGAGCCGAAGAGACGUGUGCGCUAGCAUACGAGGAGGCAAUGGUGGGAUACUACCCUGGCUGUAUGACCAUUCUAACCCGCCACGCUUAGCGCGUGGGGAGACAGUGUCAGGUGGGCAGUUUGACUGGGGCGGUCGCCUCCUAAAGAGUAACGGAGGCGCCCAAAGGUUCCC
Molecule: ribosomal RNA, 315 nt
Filed under: Listeria monocytogenes
Lineage: Bacteria; Bacillati; Bacillota; Bacilli; Caryophanales; Listeriaceae
Description: bacterial LSU rRNA
Rfam family: Bacterial large subunit ribosomal RNA
Source: RNAcentral